UUCUUCUUUGUUGAUCUAUGUUUUUCUUUUUCGUCCAUGUAUAUCAACUAUCAUAUUCUCCCUCAUUUUUUCGCAGUGAUUAUAGUAUUAUUUUUGUUUAUAGCUUUUUGAGUUUUUUUGUUUCGAUUUUAGUAUGCAUGUUCGUUUUUAUCUUGUUUUUUAUGGUAUAAUUGUGAAUGUGGGUUGAUUUUUGUGUUUUAUGGUUUGUUUCUGAAUUUUGGUAGAAUGUGGGUUGAUUUUGGUUGUUUUUUAUGGUUUGUUUAUGAAUUUUGAUAGAAUGUUGGUGAUUUUGAUUGUUUUUUUUUUUAUUGUUUGUAUUCAUCAUUUUGGUUGUUUUUCAUGAUUGUUUUUUAUCGUUUGUUUCUAAAUUUUGGUAGAAUGUGGAUUGAUUUUCGUUAUUUUUUAGGUUUUGUUUCUGAAUUUUGGUUGAAUGUGGGUUGAUUUUGAGCAAGUUUUAGCAGAUUUAUUUCUCAAUAUGGUUUUCGCAGUGGGUAUAUGUUGUGGUGUUGAUAACAAUUUGAGGUAUUAGCAGGAGCCAAAGCAAAGUUUCAUACUUAGUUUUUUUCUAACUAUAAUGUUUGCUUUUUCUCAGAGUAUGAAGGUGAAAAUGUCUUCAUCUAGAACUUGUGAGAUGACUAUCAGUAGAGGGAUUAAAUACUAUGUUGGCAGCAACUUGCCUUUGACCCUUGAUGCUACAAAUGAUGAUGAUUUCAUGUCCCUUGUUGCUCCCACAAAUAGUUGUCAACAAGAAAGCACUCGAAUCACCCUCUCGCAGACGAAGAAGGUUGAUAACCUUGUUAAGAAUAUCAAGCCGAGGACUAAGAAAUGUGGUUGACCUGAGAGAGAUAAAGUGAGGUUGAAACUUGUUGAUGAAUAUGAUGAUGAUGAUGCUGCCAAAAAGAAAAAGAAAAAGGGAAAGGUCGUCAAUGUAGCUGAAGGUAGUUCUUAUGCAGUAUUGAAAGAACAAAGGAUAUCUACUCAAUGUAAAUUUAAGGAAAGAAAAUUUCAGUUGAAGAUGAAGUACUGCAACAUUUCUCCUACCAGUGAGGAAAAAUCAAACUUGAACAUUGCUCUAUUUUUUGAAGAUAUCAAUGCCGACUAUGUUUCUUCACGGGGUUUGCCUGCUUUUCAGAAUAAUGAUUCUAACAUUCCAUCCCCACCUCAUCCUCGAAAUAUGGAGCAGCAGCCUAAACAACCUCAUCCUCAGAAUAUGAAGCAACAAUACAUAUUGAGACGCAAUCCUCCGCGAGCGAGAGCAGUGAUGAUUCAAAGGCUGAAGUUAUAGUUGAGGGGUGACAUUUCAAAGCUUACUUAUGCAAUUGCGGCACUCAACAUUUACAUCAUAUCUUCCUUUGGAAGAAUAUUCGAGCAUUUGAAAAUUAAGCAAACUAGGGAUGAGGUUCUUGGUUCCGAGAAUCAUCAAGGAAAUGCUGAUGAUGACGGUGCAUCUGGGCUAGGCAAUGAUAUUUCCAUAAUUAUGAUUAUGUUCCCCCCACUCCAAGCAAGUGUUUGAACUAAACACAUUGCCUGACCAAACAGCGGCAAGUGUCAAGGGAAAUGAGCAAGUUACUGAUCUCCCCCCCCCCCCUCACCAUCCCUACCCCCAGCAAGUGCAUGAACUAAACACACGAGCUGACCAACCCGCGUCAUGCGUCAAGGGAAAUGAGCACGUUAUUGAUGUGGUAGCAGGUGAUGGUGUUGCCCCCCCCCCCCCCUCUCCCGAGCAAGUGCAUGAACUGAACACGCGAGCUGACUAAACUGCGUCAUGUGUCAAGAGAAAUGAGCACGUUAGUGAUGGUCUUCCUGUGGUAGCAGGUGAUGGUGUUUUCCCCUCGAGCAAGUGCAUGAAGUAAACAUGCGAACUGACCAACCAGAAUCAGGUGUCAAGGAAAAUGAGGAAGUUACUGAUGGUCAUCUUGGUAUUUUGUGAUGUACGUUGUUUUCUUUCUUUCGCUAACUUCAUACUUGUUUUUCAUCUUGUAUUACUCUCUUUUCGCUAUCUAAGUGGCAGCAGGUGAUGGUGUCAAGGGACGAUCUCUGGAAUGCUAUUUGUGAUGAAGAGUUUGCCAAGAUAAAGAUGUCUCAGAUUGCGCUUCCUAGACCUUCGAAUUGUAUUAGUGAUGAAGAGUUAUCCAAGAUAAAGUUGUUCCAGAUUGGACUUCCUAGACCACUCAUCAUGGAAGUAGAAGAAAAAGACGUCACUCUAAAAAAAUUAGUACGAUAGAAAUUUUCAAGGAAAUUAGCCUAAUAUCCAUAUGUAACAACUUUUGAUUCGGAGACAUCCAAGUGUAUUUUUUUAUGUCAAGCAUCCUUUCAUGAGCAAUAUUGAUGCAUUUAAUCUCUUGUCACUUUUGGCCCAAGAGUUCUGCAAAUUCGUCGAGGAUGGGAUGCAU
Molecule: long non-coding RNA, 2393 nt
Organism: Lycium ferocissimum
Lineage: Eukaryota; Viridiplantae; Streptophyta; Magnoliopsida; Solanales; Solanaceae
Exons: 6
Source: RefSeq, a predicted model, not a curated record